Molecule: long non-coding RNA, 1005 nt
Filed under: Oryctolagus cuniculus (rabbit)
Lineage: Eukaryota; Metazoa; Chordata; Mammalia; Lagomorpha; Leporidae
Description: lncRNA (ENSOCUG00000032588.1)
Source: RNAcentral
AUGUGUGUGUGCAUGUGUGAGGGAGGUGUAUGUGUCUCCAUGUGCACGUGUGCAUGUGUGUAUGUGUGCACGUGUGUGUGCAUGUGUGGGAGCUGUGUCUCUGUGUGCGUGUGUGUGUGUGUGCAUGUGUGGGAGCUGUGUCUCUGUGUGCAUGUGUGGGAGCUGUGUCUCCAUGUGCACUUGUGCGCGUGUGUGUGUGCAUGUGUGGGAGCUGUGUCUCUGUGUGCGUGUGUGUGUGUGUGCAUGUGUGGGAGCUGUGUCUCUGUGUGCAUGUGUGGGAGCUGUGUCUCCAUGUGCACUUGUGCGCGUGUGUGUGUGCAUGUGUGGGAGCUGUGUCUCUGUGUGCGUGUGUGUGUGUGCAUGUGUGGGAGCUGUGUCUCUGUGUGCGUGUGUGUGUGUGUGCAUGUGUGGGGAGCUGUGUCUCUGUGUGCAUGUGUGUGUGUGUGCAUGUGUGGGAGCUGUGUCUCUGUGUGCACGUGUGGGAGCUGUGUCUCCGUGUGCACGUGUGUGUGUGUGUACACGUGUGUGUGUGCAUGUGUGGGAGCUGUGUCUCUGUGUGCACAUGUGUGUGUGUGGGAGCUGUGUCUCUGUGUGCAUGUGUGUGUGUGUGCAUGUGUGGGAGCUGUGUCUCUGUGUGCACGUGUGGGAGCUGUGUCUCCGUGUGCACGUGUGUGUGUGUGCAUGUGUGGGAGCUGUGUCUCUGUGUGCAUGUGUGUGUGUGCAUGUGUGGGAGCUGUGUCUCUGUGUGCAUGUGUGUGUGUGCAUGUGUGGGAGCUGUGUCUCCGUGUGCACGUGUGUGUGUGUGUGCAUGUGUGGGAGCUGUGUCUCUGUGUGCACGUGUGUGUGUGUGUGCGUGUGACUCCUCUCCAGACCAGGUCCUGGCGUGUCUGGGGGACACACCCUUUGCCCUCCUCCCCUCCUGAUUCUUCCCUCUCUUCCUCGAACCUCUUGGGAUGCACAAACGCAGGCGCGCGUGGAGGCUGCGCCCAGGCCGGGCCGGCCUGA